This is an RNA transcript of Hibiscus syriacus, 867 nucleotides long. It is a transcript of the gene named extensin-like, with no coding region annotated. Lineage: Eukaryota; Viridiplantae; Streptophyta; Magnoliopsida; Malvales; Malvaceae. The record is from RefSeq and is a predicted model, not a curated record. The transcript is spliced from 7 exons.
GGGAAAAAUGGGGUCUUCAAUGACCUCUCUUUUUCUUCCUCUCUUGGUCUUAGUAUUGUAUCUAAGGUUGCCUUUUGAAACCUCAGCUGAUUACGCUUAUUCCUCUCCUCCACCUCCUCCUAAGAAGUACCCACCACCACCCUACCAUUACAAGUCACCACCGCCUCCUCCCAAGGAGGCAUACAAAUACAAGUCUCCUCCUCCUCCUCCCAAGGAGCCAUACAAGUACAAGUCACCACCGCCACCCCCACCGGUCUACAAGUACAAGUCUCCUCCUCCUCCUCCCAAGGAGCCAUACAAAUACAAGUCACCACAGUCACCCCCACCGGUCUACAAGUACAAAUCUCCUCCACCUCCUCCUAAAAAGGCAUACAAAUACAAGUCUCCUCCUCCUCCCCCUCCCAAGGAGCCAUACAAGUACAAGUCACCACCGCCACCUCCACCGGUCUACAAGUACAAGUCUCCUCCUCCUCCCAAUGAGCCAUACAAGUACAAGUCACCACCGCCACCCCCACCGGUCUACAAAUACAAAUCUCCACCCCCACCACCACCCCAUUAUGUCUACUUUUCACCACCACCUCCUCCUCACCACUACUAAGCUACGACUUUGACCGUACUCUAAGGUAACAUACAUUAAAAUCUCUUUUUCCAUCUCGUCAAGGAGAAGAGUGAUUCAAAUAAAGCAACAAAAUAUGGUUUGAACAAAUAUAUAGAGGGUGGUAAGAUGAAAAUGGGGAGCCUAGCCUGGUCUCCACGUCUUAAGUGAAUAAUGUAGACAAAUUUGUAUUUGGCAAUGUAUUGUUCAAUGGAUCCACUUGUUUUUAUUUCUUUCUCUCCGCUUCAUAAUAAAAAUGAAUCCUUAUGUAG